This 500-nucleotide ribosomal RNA is filed under the name uncultured bacterium. Its description in RNAcentral is "partial 16S ribosomal RNA". It matches the Rfam family "Bacterial small subunit ribosomal RNA", at positions 30 to 523 of the family's 1533-position model. The record is from RNAcentral.
AUUGAACGCUGGCGGCAUGCCUUACACAUGCAAGUCGAACGGCAGCACGGGAGCAAUCCUGGUAGCGAGUGGCGAACGGGUGAGUAAAGUAUCGGAACGUGCCCAGUCGUGGGGGAUAACGUAGCGAAAGUUACGCUAAUACCGCAUACGAUCUAUGGGUGAAAGCGGGGGAUCGCAAGACCUCGCGCGAUUGGAGCGGCCGAUAUCAGAUUAGGUAGUUGGUGGGGUAAAGGCUCACCAAGCCGACGAUCUGUAGCUGGUCUGAGAGGACGACCAGCCACACUGGGACUGAGACACGGCCCAGACUCCUACGGGAGGCAGCAGUGGGGAAUUUUGGACAAUGGGCGCAAGCCUGAUCCAGCCAUGCCGCGUGCAGGAUGAAGGCCUUCGGGUUGUAAACUGCUUUUGUACGGAACGAAAAGGUUUGACUUAAUACGUUGGACUCAUGACGGUACCGUAAGAAUAAGCACCGGCUAUCUACGUGCCAGCCGCCGCGGUAA